GACGAACGCUGGCGGCGUGCCUAAUACAUGCAAGUUGAGCGCUGAAGGUUGGUACUUGUACCAACUGGAUGAGCAGCGAACGGGGGAGUAACGCGUGGGGAAUCUGCCUUUGAGCGGGGGACAACAUUUGGAAACGAAUGCUAAUACCGCAUAAAAACUUUAAACACAAGUUUUAAGUUUGAAAGAUGCAAUUGCAUCACUCAAAGAUGAUCCCGCGUUGUAUUAGCUAGUUGGUGAGGUAAAGGCUCACCAAGGCGAUGAUACAUAGCCGGCCGGAGAGGGGGAUCGGCCACAAUGGGACUGAGACACGGGCCAAACUCCUAAGGGAGGCAGCAGGAGGGAAUCUUCGGCAAUAGAGGGAAGGCUGAACGAGCAAAGCCGCGGGAGUGAAGAAGGGUCUCGGAUCGUAAAACUCUGUUGGUAGAGAAGAAAGUUGGUGAGAGUGGAAAGCUCAUCAAGUGACGGUAACUACACAGAAAGGGACGGCUAACUACGUG
RNAcentral lists this ribosomal RNA (497 nucleotides) under uncultured bacterium. Its description in RNAcentral is "partial 16S ribosomal RNA". It matches the Rfam family "Bacterial small subunit ribosomal RNA", at positions 28 to 507 of the family's 1533-position model. The record is from RNAcentral.